RNAcentral lists this ribosomal RNA (269 nucleotides) under uncultured prokaryote. RNAcentral's name for it is "partial 16S ribosomal RNA". It matches the Rfam family "Bacterial small subunit ribosomal RNA", at positions 524 to 792 of the family's 1533-position model. The record is from RNAcentral.
UACGGAGGAUCCGAGCGUUAUCCGGAUUUAUUGGGUUUAAAGGGUGCGCAGGCGGGAGAUUAAGUCGGCGGUGAAAUUUUGCAGCUCAACUGUAAAAGUGCCUUCGAAACUGGUUUCCUUGAGUGUAGAUGAAGUAGGCGGAAUUUGUGGUGUAGCGGUGAAAUGCAUAGAUAUCACGAGGAACUCCGAUUGCGCAGGCAGCUUACUAAACUACUACUGACGCUCAUGCACGAAGGCGUGGGGAUCAAACAGGAUUAGAUACCCGCGUA